This 461-nucleotide ribosomal RNA is filed under the name uncultured bacterium. Its description in RNAcentral is "bacterial SSU rRNA". It matches the Rfam family "Bacterial small subunit ribosomal RNA", at positions 35 to 507 of the family's 1533-position model. The record is from RNAcentral.
CGGCUGGCGGCGUGCUUAACACAUGCAAGUCGAACGGUGACCCAGGGCUUGCCCUGGUGAUCAGUGGCGAACGGGUGAGUAACACGUGGGCAACCUGCCCCUGACUUCGGGAUAACUCCUCGAAAGAGGAGCUAAUACCGGAUACGACCACUUCGGACAUCCGAUGGUGGUGGAAAGUUUUUCGGUCAGGGAUGGGCCCGCGGCCUAUCAGCUAGUUGGUGGGGUAAUGGCCUACCAAGGCGACGACGGGUAGCCGGCCUGAGAGGGCGACCGGCCACACUGGGACUGAGACACGGCCCAGACUCCUACGGGAGGCAGCAGUGGGGAAUAUUGCGCAAUGGGCGAAAGCCUGACGCAGCGACGCCGCGUGAGGGAUGAAGGCCUUCGGGUUGUAAACCUCUUUCAGCAGGGACGAAGCGAAAGUGACGGUACCUGCAGAAGAAGCACCGGCUAACUACGUG